AACGAACGCUGGCGGCAUGCCUAACACAUGCAAGUCGAACGAGACCUUCGGGUCUAGUGGCGCACGGGUGCGUAACGCGUGGGAACCUGCCCUUAGGUUCGGAAUAACUCCCCGAAAGGGGUGCUAAUACCGGAUAAUGUCUUCGGACCAAAGAUUUAUCGCCUUUGGAUGGGCCCGCGUUGGAUUAGCUAGUUGGUAGGGUAAAAGCCUACCAAGGCGACGAUCCAUAGCUGGUCUGAGAGGAUGAUCAGCCACACUGGGACUGAGACACGGCCCAGACUCCUACGGGAGGCAGCAGUGGGGAAUAUUGGACAAUGGGCGAAAGCCUGAUCCAGCAAUGCCGCGUGAGCGAUGAGGGCCUUAGGGUUGUAAAGCUCUUUUACCCGGGAUGAUAAUGACAGUACCGGGAGAAUAAGCUCCGGCUAACUCCGUG
This 433-nucleotide ribosomal RNA is filed under the name uncultured bacterium. RNAcentral's name for it is "partial 16S ribosomal RNA". It matches the Rfam family "Bacterial small subunit ribosomal RNA", at positions 29 to 507 of the family's 1533-position model. The record is from RNAcentral.